CAGUCGCCACGGGAAUACGUAGGUGGCAAGCGUUGUCCGGAAUUAUUGGGCGUAAAGGGCUCGCAGGCGGUUUCUUAAGUCUGAUGUGAAAGCCCCCGGCUCAACCGGGGAGGGUCAUUGGAAACUGGGAAACUUGAGUGCAGAAGAGGAGAGUGGAAUUCCACGUGUAGCGGUGAAAUGCGUAGAGAUGUGGAGGAACACCAGUGGCGAAGGCGACUCUCUGGUCUGUAACUGACGCUGAGGAGCGAAAGCGUGGGGAGCGAACAGGAUUAGAGACCCCUGUAGUCCCUGUCUCUUAUAC
This 301-nucleotide ribosomal RNA is filed under the name uncultured bacterium. Its description in RNAcentral is "partial 16S ribosomal RNA". It matches the Rfam family "Bacterial small subunit ribosomal RNA", at positions 509 to 807 of the family's 1533-position model. The record is from RNAcentral.